UUUCCGUAGGUGAACCUGCGGAAGGAUCAUUUCCGAAACAACUUCUAUACCAACCCACCGUGUGCAAUCAUGUUUUGCUGCAAUUUUGCCUCGCCUUUCUCGCCAGAGAGGGCGAGGAAUUGCAUUUUUCCCUUUCAGGGGUUGCUUUAGGCUUGUGCGUGGGUGCCUUUGUGGCCACCCACGCACCUGUAUACCUGGUACCCCCUGAUUUUACCCUUUACAAACCACACCUGAGAUUCUCUACGAAAAAAGAACCUGAGAAUACAAGGCUAGGGCUGUUGUUAUGUGCAAGCAUACAUGAGAGCUCUGUCCUUGCUGUUCCUUUUUUUUUUUGUACUGGGUUUCUCUUGUGUUUUACCCUGUACUUUUGUAAGAGCAAAUCUUAUAAAAAAACAAAAAAGUUGACAAUAAAUAAUGGACAACUUUUAACGGUGGAUCUCUUGGCUCGU
RNAcentral lists this unclassified non-coding RNA (449 nucleotides) under plant metagenome. RNAcentral describes it as "partial contains small subunit ribosomal RNA, internal transcribed spacer 1, and 5.8S ribosomal RNA". The record is from RNAcentral.